CACAAUUCGAAGUCCGACUACAUAACCAACUCUAGCUCCUCUCUCACUCGGCAACGUCUCCUCUCCCACCCGCCUCCAGUCCGUAACGAUUGUCUAAACUCCUCCUCACCCUUUCCACUUCCACUACGGCCGGCCGACCGCGGAGUGGUGACCGAGGACAAAACGUCGCCGUUUCUCUUGCCACAACUCCUACACAACGAGAUACGUGCCGACAGUCUUCAUGUAGGAACGAUAUUACAUAAAAAGACACCGAAAGAGGUAAUCUUAUAAAGAGGAGUUGCUGGUAUAGUUGGACAGACCACAAACGUGUACAGUAAAACCAACUCCACACACGUUCUAGUAGGGAGAGAUUUGAUAUUUAAACAGACAUACAAAACCAUCUAAACUAAAUACCCGCCGUUUCCGUCCGACCGACAUGAUGUUCCGCCCCACGGUAACAAUAAAACCAAAACCGAGUACUUGAAGUUUAGUCAAGAGGAUACUUUCUUUUAGUUAGACACAUACGUACUAUGAACAAUUAUGAAAUUGACGUCAAAUCCUAUGUUUACACUAAUGUAAUUAGUAAACAAUUUGUCCAAUGGCGGUAAGGUGGAGAAGGAGCACUACCAUAUCCUCAUGUAUGAUUAAGCUAUUUGUUCUCCGUUUCAACGGUUGCGGACUCUAUCACCAAGGAUGGAGACCGGAAGCGUGGAAAUCAAGGUGUUCAUCAAUUCGUUGAGUUUACCAUUCUUGAAGUCCCAAGAAAAAAGAGAAAGAAAGAAAGAAAGAAAGAAAGAAAAGAGAACCCUGACAAAUAAGAGACAAACAUAUAUAAAGGAAACUAACUUUAUUUCCUAACACACCGGAAACGAGGUGUAUUCCAUCAGUUUUCUUUCAUGAAGGAGAUUAGGUAUAAUCAACAGCGACUAAAUCAUCACAUGAUUUAGUUACUGUUAAUUAUACCUAGUCUCCUCCAUUGUACAUAAAACAAUUUUGACGAAAUUCAUUGAUCCCGGUUCAUUGUAUGAUACACUAACAACACACACCAGCACCGUACACUUAGACUAAUUUGGUAGUAUCAACCUAUUAUCGUCAGAACCCCUCCUUAUGCUACACACAAAGUCUAUAAAUUCUCGCCAAACUAAUACAAAGUUAAAGCUUCUGUACCAGCACCGUACACUUAGACUAAUCUGGUAGUAUCAACCUAUUAUCGUCAGAACCCCUCCUUAUGCUACACACAAAGUCUAUAAAUUCUCGCCAAACUAAUACAAAGUUAAAGCUUCUGUACCAAAGCACAAUACGGAAUAUUCCAACUCCGUACACGAUAUCUCCGUUCCUUCUAAUGAAACUAAAACAACUAAUAAUCCCAAAAACUAUUACGUUGAAGAAAACCUUAGACAAUAAUCACAAAAUAUAUAACAAGGGGGUUUGCAGGAAAAAACAAAUCAAUACAUAACCGUUGGCAAAGGAAGAAGGUAACAUCAUUCAUCUUCAAUAUAUAAAAGGACAGGUACGGGAAGAAAAGGAUCCGGUCGUUAAACGAAAGAGGAACCAAAUGUCACCGACGUCGGAGGAUAAACACUGCAGCAUCGGGGUUUCCAUAGGAAGAGAGAUAUGACUUAGACUAAGAAACGUAAAACCCAAACCUAUACAAACGAUAACGGUCGAGAUAAACGUGAAUUAGUUAUAUACACGCACGUGAACAUCUUCACUUUCUCUUUAAACCUCCCGCUAUUUCCUUAUAUGUAUUCCAGGACUCCUUUUACUAUGAACAUGUACCAAACCUAAUGAGCACAAAAAAAUAAAACUGACGUUUAUUGAAGAGAAAAGUUGUGUGAAUCAUGCACUAGAUCGUUAGUGUAAUAUUAUCUCAUUCACUCUUUUUCGAGAAAUAAACUUACUGGUUCUUAGGCACCACAAGAGGACUUGACGUUCCUUGUGAGGUGAUGCUUUGAGUGAAUUCGUCCAACUAUCUACUAUGGAACAGAACUCGGAUAAAAGAGUUUUAUUACUCUCCGACUUACUAAGUCUGUGUCCUACUUGAAAGAGUGGAGUAGUAAAGUAAUGUAAAACUAAAGUAACACACCACACGAAGCUAGAUCCACUCAACUCAACGACGAACCAACCUCUACAACUACAGCAAGCUCUGCGGGCGACCUAAGUGGGAAAAGUUCCAAGACUUAUUCCCGAACAGCUCGACUCACAAGCAGUGGUGGAAUCGAGAACCAAACCAAACCUAAUGAGUACAAAAAAUAAAACUGACGUUUUAUUGAAGAGAAAAGUUGUGUGAAUCAUGCACUAGAUCGUUAGUGUAAUAUUAUCUCAUUCACUCUUUUUCGAGAAAUAAACUUACUAGUUCUUAGGCACCACACGAGGACUUGACGUUCCUUGUGAGGUGAUGCUUUGAGUGAAUUCGUCCGACUAUCUACUACAGAACAGAAACCACUCGGAUAAAAGAGUUUUAUUACUCUCCGACUUACUAAGUCUGUGUCCGACUUGGUAGAAAGAGUGAAGUAGUAAAACAAUGUAAACUAAUGACUAAGUAGUUCCUCAACAACAAGACGCAAGUGAAUAAAGGGGUUUGAUAUACAUGCGUAGCGAGCGUUUUCUUUAGCUAAAUUUAGGAGAGGCUUUUUUAAACCUGACAACAUUCAACUUUUUUACGUACACAAGACAUUCGUGAACUUAACUUCCCGUUUUACUUUUACGUACACAACCAUACGACAACGACCGGGUAUAUAGGGUUCUGUCCCAUAUGUCUAUCGAAAACUGGAACGGUCUCGCAUUCAUCAAGUAAACCAAUUAGACAAAACGCAAAACUGUACGUAGUAAACAACGUCUGACGAUCUAGCUACGAUGAAGGUAAUAAUAAUAAAAAAUAACGGAUUCGUGGCUUGUUCGUGAGAACGUAACCUCCACGGGACUUACCGAAGAUGUCUAAACAGGGUUACGUUAAUCGUCCGAUCGUAUAAACUUUUUACUUUAAAACUUACUGUAUAUCGUCCUAUACGUAGAUAAGGAUGAGGAUAGAAUAUACCUGUUUAUCUAGAUUGUCGACCGAACGAACGAACGUCACCAUGUCCACACUAGAAGUACCUCGAUCGGUAGUAACCUAAACCAUUAUGUAUUAGUGAAUAAGUCUCUCGGGUUCCACUCUUCCCUACUCGUAGAUCUUGUGGUGGUGGAUGAUUAGUCACUCGAUGAUAGACAUAAAGUUACUCAAUGAAUUGUUCUCUUCCGUCCAUCGUUAUCUUGUGCACGUUAAAGUUACAAAUGAUUAAUAGAUAAAGACUUAAAUAAGCAAGGGUCGACGAGACUUAGACCCACAAAACGAACGACGAAACAUCCUCAAAGGAUGGAAAGAAGACGUUUAUACCUUACGGAAAUACCGUACUAGUACACUUUUUUCAUGGAACUACGUCAUUACCUAAACUAAUAGUGACCAAUGAGACAAAAGUGCUUAAUGAUAGGUUGACAUUCAGACAAGAUAUGGGAUUCCGGGUACAUUUAGAUUAUCUUCUAAUUCGAUAAAUUAAAAUUGAUUUUUCCUAUUAUAAGAAAGUCAGCCAACUUAGACAGGUCUGGACUUUUUAUGAAUAUGAAACUUUCGAACUAUAUACUCAUACAUUAAAAUGUCCAUACAUCUAUCGGCUGUUACAAUAACAAGUUUACAUGAGCUCGGUCCAAAAGCCACAAAGUAACGUUGGUUUUCUUAACCAUUAUAACAAAACUACUUUUGUACCAGCGUGAACAGCCACAACAUCACCGUAUCCUUAAAAGGGGGAUUCUAGGUGAUACUUCAACUAAUUUUUCAGGUAAAAGGGAUUCUAGGUGAUACUGUUACUUUUUCUAAAGACUUUUGACACAGUGGUAUUUACAAGGUAGUAACAGGUAUCAUCAGGGUACGGUAUAAUUAAAGUCUUCUUAUUAAAGAAUAAGUCUACAAGUAACACAAAAAUACAUGACGAUAUAGAUUUUUUCGUUCAAAGUCGAUUUUGGUCUCGGCACCAAUUCUAUGAGAAGCGUGGAUCCUAUACACAUAUACAAGUCUAAAGAUUGAAAUUUGAUAUCAAAAUCUUUUACACCACGGGAGCGAAUAAAAAGAUUACGUACUUGACCCAUACAAAAUACACAUUACGCACGAACUAAAGAAAAACCAAGACCACCUAAAACUAAAACAGGUGGUACGAAGAGAGGUUUCUCUACUCAGACAAAAGCGUCGUCGCCCACUACGUACACGAAUAACAACCGACAACGAUACACCAUACGUAAAAGAGUAACAAUGACAAACAACAAACGAUACUAAUUAUAUGUAACCGUACAUGUAAAAUAUAGUCAAAACAAAAGUUGUGGUGGAUAGUGACAUAUUAAACAGCAAUUAUCUCAUCAAAGAGGAAAUAACGUAACGUAUUACGAUCGUUCGAUGUAACGUGGUAUUUGUUUUUAUUAGGAGAAGGUUCCAAUUUGGACAAAAAAGGAAGAUCGUUUCUAGAGACCUUUUCUAGUUAAGGCAAUCGGAUAUUAUAACGUCAAGAAAGCAUAGGAAGUUUCUAAAUAUUUAUAAAAGACAAAGGUGAGGUAAGCAAGAGUACCUAAGACUUUUUUUAUAAAAACAAAAAACAACUAAUUAUUAUAACGAGAGGGAAGGUCAAAACUCCACCAGCUACGUACAUCUUAUAUGUCUGAAAGGAUCUUACCACGGAAAAUCAAAAAGACGAACUACAAUCAAGUAACUACUCUUGUGGAUACAUGUACUAACGACGUACGUACUAUAGGAUCAUAUAUGACUCUUUAUAAAAACAAAAGGCCUGUAACAAAAGAUUUAGGAUAGUUGUAUAAUGGACUAUACCAGAAACUUCAAAGAUAAAAUAUCGCUGAGAGACGUGACCAGUUGAACUCAUACCAUACCAAUAGAAAGGAAAACAAAUGUUCUCUACACACCAUCUUCGACAUGAGUGUCCUUCUGAUAGUACGACACAUAUUUGGUGCAAGAUGCUAAGUGAAGACAGUACGUAUAAAUGAAAGGUCAAAAUCCUGACUUUAGGUAGGUAACAUUACUUAAACCAACAUACCCGUAAUGGAUAAACUGAAUCCGAACGAAGUAGUGUAUAUCUGACGGAAAAGAAAAGGGGCAACGAACAUACUGGAUUUUGAUAGUACAUAUACUCCGUUCAAAAAUCGUUACAAAGUGUAAAAGAAUGAACGUUAUGACACGAACGGAUAAGUCCACAAGGUUCUGGGUUUAGUAGUCUUUUUGUUGUGUAUGUUGUGAAAAAAGAAAACUUGAAACCAAUGGGAAUAUGUUCGGGGACAAGUAAAACAAAUAUAUCACCAAUCUUAUCAUUGGUAUACACGAACGAGUUAUGACUAUCUACCUUAUAAAAGUUUCGUACAUACCACACCCAGACGUUAAACCGCGUUACCCUCUAAUAACUUUUUAUGUGUAAAAAAGUUGUACUGUACCAGAACUUUACCCUCAGAUGAUAGUUUAAUUUUAUACAUCCAUGUAGAGUAACAUCUGCUGUUCAUAGAUAAAAAAAUAAUUUCCCCCAAUUUAAACAAUAGUAUAUACGAACGGACGAUGAUUUUGUUGAUUUUGUACCUUAAAGAAAAGUAUGACUUCUACCUAAGUCACCCAGAGAUGCGGUAAAACAAUGGGUUGACUGCUUGACUCUUUCUUUCCUUCCCCUAUCUAUCAGAAGCGACCGAGACGGGGGACGGCGAAGUAUAAGUCGAGGAGUGCCCGGUGUGCGUAGCGAGAUGCACCCAACCCGAAUUAUUGUAUACCCGAUAGUAUUAUGGAGGACUAGUAAUAUAGAGGCUUAUACGUGUUGUUUCUGUACAAAAAAAGAAUCCAAAAAAUAGAAAAAGGAGAAAAAAAAGGUCCUUUUUAUACGUACCGGUCCAAAGAGUAGUACUAUUGGUACAAAGGUUUGGACGAUUUUUUUAUGUUGGUACGGUUGAAAUGAGAGAGUAGUAUCACGAGUAUAAAAGUUUGACUUGUAUACGUAUAAUACGUUUCAAAGGGAACAGGGUCUGAUAAUAGAUUGUUGCAUUAUUUGUACAAAUUUUUUAUCGUACUAAAUCAACUUCCAAAAAGGUCGUACUUUGAUAAAAGUAACUGUUGUACAGAAGUCGUUCAAACACGCAGUAAACCGCGUUGCCCAGUUGAUCAUGUCUAAUUUUUUAUCUCCUGCUCCUAGCUUGUACGCUGGUCCCGGAAGUUCGGCGUACAGUUAUCCGUUGUAUACAUCUUGUAGUUACAAACAACAUGGAGGGAAACAAGUGUAUUAUAAAAAUAUAAUGGUGUCGG
This 6292-nucleotide ribosomal RNA is filed under the name Triticum aestivum (bread wheat). Its description in RNAcentral is "partial small subunit ribosomal RNA". The record is from RNAcentral. Lineage: Eukaryota; Viridiplantae; Streptophyta; Magnoliopsida; Poales; Poaceae.